ACCCAGCGGAGCCUGGCGAAGGGCUGCAGCCUUCAUGGGCGGCGAGCGGGAUGCAGGCUAGCACGCCUGGGUCCGCGCACACGCGCUGCCCAAAAGACCCCCCGAAGCUGAGCGCGGGCUGGGAGUGCGGCCGGAAGAAGCGGCGCGGCGUCCCUGACAAGGGUCCGGGCUUGCAAGGUAGGGAGUAGGCAGAGGGCCAGGCAAAGUUGAUCGGAGCGAGGAGGUGGUUGGCCCGUGCCCCUCUCGCCUCUGGGAACCGCGGAGCGACUUGGACUUGACCCCGCCGCGCCCCAGGCGCUCUGAGCAGCGCUUAUCUGCCGCCGUGCGCGGGAGCGCACUUGCAAACUUGGUGGAGGUGCCCUGUGCGUCCUGUUGUGUAACCUCCGCGCCGCCAGCUGGACCGGGAAGUUGCCCGCCCGUCCUUCAGCUUGGUUCAGUCGCAGCCCGGGGCAAAUUUCAUGGCCCGCGACGAACGCUCGGCCAGAGGCGGCGUGGGCGAGCCCCCGCGCGCUCCGACCCGUGGGGAGCUCUCCCGCGCGGUCCCUUCCCCUCGCCCGCGCCUCCGAUGCGCGCUGAGCCUCUCGCCGCUGCCGCCUGCUCGCUGCGGUCUGCCCUUCCGAGUUGCUGCCUGAGUUGGAAAGAAGAGGAUGACCGAGGUGCCUUGGCUGACUGUCCCCAACGGGACGGACCCAGCCUUCUUGGCUAGCCUGGGCUCGCCUUGGGGAAACAGCACUGUCGCCGCCACUGCAGCGGUUUCCUCUUCAUUCCGAUGUGCCCUAACCAAGACCGGCUUCCAGUUUUACUACCUGCCGGCCGUCUACAUCUUGGUGUUCAUCAUCGGCUUCCUGGGCAACAGCGUGGCUAUCUGGAUGUUCGUUUUCCACAUGAAGCCUUGGAGUGGCAUCUCCGUGUACAUGUUCAACUUGGCUCUGGCUGACUUUUUGUACGUGCUCACCCUGCCAGCCCUCAUCUUCUACUACUUCAAUAAGACUGACUGGAUCUUCGGGGAUGCUAUGUGCAAGCUGCAGAGGUUCAUCUUCCAUGUGAACCUCUAUGGCAGCAUCUUGUUCCUCACCUGCAUCAGCGCGCACAGGUACAGCGGCGUGGUGUACCCGCUCAAAUCUCUGGGCAGACUCAAGAAGAAGAAUGCCAUUUAUGUCAGCAUGCUGGUGUGGCUCAUUGUAGUGCUGGCCAUCUCCCCCAUUCUCUUCUACUCUGGCACUGGGAUUCGGAAGAACAAAACGGUCACCUGCUAUGACACCACCUCUGAUGAGUACCUGAGAAGUUAUUUCAUCUAUAGUAUGUGCACAACAGUGGCCAUGUUCUGCGUCCCCUUGGUGCUGAUCUUGGGCUGUUAUGGAUUAAUUGUUAGAGCUUUGAUUUACAAAGACCUGGACAACUCUCCUCUCAGAAGGAAAUCCAUUUACCUGGUAAUAAUUGUCCUGACGGUGUUUGCUGUGUCUUACAUCCCUUUCCAUGUGAUGAAAACGAUGAAUUUGCGGGCACGGCUGGAUUUCCAGACCCCAGAAAUGUGUCAUUUCAACGAUAGGGUUUAUGCCACUUAUCAGGUGACAAGGGGUCUGGCGAGCCUCAACAGUUGUGUGGACCCCAUUCUUUAUUUCUUGGCUGGAGAUACGUUCAGAAGGAGGCUGUCCCGAGCGACCAGGAAAGCUUCCAGGAGGAGUGAGGCCAAUUUACAAUCCAAGAGUGAAGAAAUGACUCUCAAUAUUUUAUCUGAGUUCAAGCAGAACGGAGAUACAAGUUUGUGAAGGCACAAGACCCAAGCUCCUCAUUUUUGUAACGUGGUAGGAUGCUCAUAGAACCAGAUGCUUUCCUCCUUAAGUUCCUAAGUCAUGUUUCGGAAUACUCCAAACAGGACAAAAGUAGUGAGUUUAAAGGAGCAUCAGUUCGAUGCACAUGUCCACAUUUAUCUUUCUUUCCUGCAAGCUCCUUUCUUAGUAACUAGAAGUAUGUGUAUUAAAACAGGACUACUAGGUAAACACUGCCUCGCCACCCUUUUAAAUCCACAAGCUUUUCUAGUCAAAGAAACGUGUGUGCAUGUGUAGCAGAACAGUUUUUAUAUUAAAAAUUUCUCCAAGAAAAGUGGCCACCUGGAACUUGAAUUUGUGAUUUGUUCAGCCUCUGCUGCUGUGAAUAACUCUUGGCAUAAACAAACUAAAAUCUAUACUUUCGAAGAUUGUUUGGCAUAGUAUAAUGGCGUGCUGGUCAGUGCAUUCAGUAAUGAGCAAACAGAUGCCUGAGGUACAUGACUUUCAGUUCCUCAUAAGCAUAGAUGGUGGCUUCUGAUGUCUUUGGGGAUUUGAACUGAAAAACAAAAUCAAUGAACUUUUAUGUAAGGAAAAUGAGCAUUUCCAGUUAUUUCUGGGAAACUGAUUUACCCCAGAUCCCUGUGGAUACUCGGCAAGAGUUCAAUCACUGAGAUAGCCACAGCUCCUAAAGUGUUCUUCCUUAGUGUGCUAUAUCAUUAAAUAGACAAUGACAUGUCAACAUAACAAGACUGACUGUGACAACUUCCUCCAAGUCAAAAGAAGUUCCUGAGAUAACCUAUGCAUGCACAGGGCAGGAUGAAGCAACACUCUGUUGGCCAAAAGACCCAAUUUGUGCCACCUGAUAUGAGUAAGCAUUUCCACAGUAAAGACAGAUCUGUUGACAUUUGCGGGAAAGACACCUAAAAUUGUAAGAUUUAGCAAGUCGUUAAAUGUCACACUACAGAAGUCUUUCAUUCCAAGUUCAAGGGUUGUUUUUUGUUAUUUUUUUGUUGUUGUCAUUCCUUACAAAGUACUGUCUUUGACUCUUUGAAGGUUGCUUUGAACUUAUAUUGAAAUAAAAUGAUAAAUUAAGGAGAAAUGGCACACAAGACAGAAUUGAAAAUUAAAACCAUAAUGUGGCCAUUGAGAAGACACUUGAAGCCCAUUCUUCAUGAACAGAAAGGGAAUGGCACAACCAUUUGUGGAUGCCAUAGGUGCUGUGGUAAAUCUUGAAAAGCAGACAGUGAGAAGCAUUUAGAAUCUGCUUCUGUGCUUCUUCAGUCUAGUCCUUUGACAAAAUGCUCAUUUUUCAACCACUGUGCUACGGACAGGCUGAGACCUGUGUAUAUGUGCUUACUCAGCCAGGACACUAGCCCACCUUGAUAUGACAAAUAUCAGUACUGAGCAGCUAGGAUUCAAGAAUGGGAAGACGUGUUACCAGUA
Molecule: RNA transcript, 3212 nt
Organism: Psammomys obesus (fat sand rat)
Lineage: Eukaryota; Metazoa; Chordata; Mammalia; Rodentia; Muridae
Gene: P2ry1
Gene name: purinergic receptor P2Y1
Exons: 2
Source: RefSeq, a predicted model, not a curated record